GGCCUUACAAUGUUGUAUAUAUAAAAAUCUCUUAAUGCCCAUCUCAUUUCUCAAUACAUUGUCGGUUAGGUUUGGGAUGCAUCUGGGAUUUGCGUGCCAGAGGUGUCAUCCCUUCGGUGUCAUCGGCUUCAUGCCCAGCAAUACUACCCACAUAACUAGUCGCAGCCGGUGCACGAUUCCCGGCCGAGCAAAGUCUGAACUGAGUUACCGACAACCAAACUUGGGGCCACGAACGAUCCCAGCCAAAGUCUGCUCAUCUGCUACGUGCUUCGUCUGCCCAUUCGGUUCAUGGCUAGCUGCCAUAGGAACUAAGCGACGACACUUCUGACAGGCUGUUGGAAGAUGACGGUGAAACAAUUGUAUAGUUGGUAAUUUGCACCUUUAAGCAAGCUCGAGCCUGCUUUGUGCCGAGACGGCGAGAUGGACCAAUUUGCGAUGCUCAUAUAGAAUAGUGGAGUACAUCCUGGCCUUCAUGUAAAUUUCUUUAAUGAGUACUGUAUUUAUCGAACAAAGUAAAAUCAGCAUUACAGUUUUUAUCUA
Molecule: non-coding RNA, 540 nt
Organism: Triticum urartu
Lineage: Eukaryota; Viridiplantae; Streptophyta; Magnoliopsida; Poales; Poaceae
Source: RefSeq, a predicted model, not a curated record